Molecule: ribosomal RNA, 274 nt
Filed under: uncultured bacterium
Lineage: Bacteria
Description: partial 16S ribosomal RNA
Rfam family: Bacterial small subunit ribosomal RNA
Source: RNAcentral
AUACGGAGGGUGCGAGCGUUACUCAGAGUCACUGGGCGUAAAGCGCGCGCAGGCGGCUUGAUAAGUUGGAUGUGAAAGCCUACGGCUCAACCGUAGAACUGCAUCCAAAACUGUCAGGCUAGAGUGUGGGAGAGGAAGAUGGAAUUAGUUGUGUAGGGGUAAAAUCCGUAGAGAUAACUAGGAAUACCAAAAGCGAAGGCAAUCUUCUGGAACACUACUGACGCUGAGGCGCGAAGGCGUGGGGAGCAAACAGGAUUAGAGACCCGAGUAGUCC